Molecule: ribosomal RNA, 429 nt
Filed under: uncultured bacterium
Lineage: Bacteria
Description: bacterial SSU rRNA
Rfam family: Bacterial small subunit ribosomal RNA
Source: RNAcentral
AACGAACGCUGGCGGCAGGCCUAACACAUGCAAGUCGAACGCCCUAGCAAUAGGGAGUGGCAGACGGGUGAGUAACACGUGGGAACCUUCCCUAUAGUACGGAAUAUACCAGGGAAACUUGGAGCAAUACCGUAUACGCCCGAGAGGGGAAAGAUUUAUCGCUAUAGGAUGGGCCCGCGUAGGAUUAGCUAGUUGGUGAGGUAAUGGCUCACCAAGGCGACGAUCCUUAGCUGGUUUGAGAGAACGACCAGCCACACUGGGACUGAGACACGGCCCAGACUCCUACGGGAGGCAGCAGUGGGGAAUAUUGGACAAUGGGCGCAAGCCUGAUCCAGCCAUGCCGCGUGAGUGAAGAAGGCCUGCGGGUUGUAAAGCACUUUCAGUAGGGAAGAAAAGCCGAGUGCUAAUAUCACUCGGUCUUGACGUUAC